AGGUGCGAUCAUACCAGCACUAAUGCACCGGAUCCCAUCUGAACUCCGCAGUGAAGCGUGGUUCGGCGAGAGUAGUACUAGGAUGGGUGACCUCCUGGGAAGUCCUUGUGUUGCACUUC
Phaseolus vulgaris (common bean) is the source of this 119-nucleotide non-coding RNA. The record is from Rfam. NCBI's taxonomy places the organism in Eukaryota, Viridiplantae, Streptophyta, Magnoliopsida, Fabales, Fabaceae.